UGUGAAGCCGAGCAAAUCUCAAAAAUAACGUCUCAGUUCGGACUGUAGUCUGCAACCCGACUACACGAAGCUGGAAUCGCUAGUAAUCGCAGAUCAGAAUGCUGCGGUGAAUACGUUCCCGGGUCUUGUACACACCGCCCGUCACACCAUGGGAGUUGGGAAUGCCCGAAGCCAGUGACCUAACCGAAAGGAAGGAGCUGUCGAAGGCAGGCUCGAUAACUGGGGUGAAGUCGUAACAAGGUAGCCGUAUCGGAAGGUGCGGCUGGAUCACCUCCUUUCUAAGGAA
RNAcentral lists this ribosomal RNA (286 nucleotides) under Agathobacter rectalis. RNAcentral's name for it is "partial 16S ribosomal RNA". It matches the Rfam family "Bacterial small subunit ribosomal RNA", at positions 1256 to 1533 of the family's 1533-position model. The record is from RNAcentral. Lineage: Bacteria; Bacillati; Bacillota; Clostridia; Lachnospirales; Lachnospiraceae.